This 29-nucleotide non-coding RNA is filed under the name Rattus norvegicus (Norway rat). The record is from RNAcentral. Lineage: Eukaryota; Metazoa; Chordata; Mammalia; Rodentia; Muridae.
UAUGUGCUGAUCCUGAGGAUACAUGCCCU